CUCAGGACGUUUUUACAUCAUCCCUUUCCCACAAACAAACAUUGGUUUGUGCCUGUUGGAUUUCUAAAUGGAAACAUUGGGUUGAAGUUGUCACAGGUGCUUUUUGUGCUUCACCCCUCCCUGACAGGUGAGAGCCAAAGUAUCUCCAGCUGUGGGGAUCUUUUCCUUGGAUUCUCAAGCAUUUCCAGCUAAAUUUGACAUCUAAGAUAGUUUCAAGUUCCCUUCACACUCUUAUCUUUUCCCUUUUAUCUGUUCCAGUUCUCCUGAAUUCCACUUCUGUGCCUUUUCUAGAUUUCCCUCUUGUCCUGGAUUGCUUUCCAUCUCUUUCUGACACACAGAGCUCCAGUAAGAGGUUGGUAAACUCUUUAAACUGCUCAAAGAAAUUACCACUUUUCCCCGCUUUCCAUCAUCUCUUAAUUCUUUACCUUCUGAGCAGUGUAGAAUUUUCUCCUCCAGCUGUCAGGCUGUGUGUAAUUAAUGCUGUCUUCCCUUUCUCCCAGCUCCCACAUCCCUUCCUUCCCAUCUCCCCCUGGCUCUGUUUCCUUUGCCAGUUUGAAGGGACCGAUUGUUCUAAGAGGCAAAAAAAAGUUCAAACUGUUUUUCAUGUGACAGCAGCAACAUCAGCCGAAGUUCUGCUGGAGAAGUGCUGCAGAAUUUCCUGGGAAUGGACUGCAACUCUUCCAUUCCAGUCCCCCCUGGGAGCCAGGAAGGUGUCCAUGGCAUGGGCUGGGAUUGAGGGGACAGCCUGCAGCUGCUGGGCAGGGCUGUGUGAGGCUGUGGGUGUUCCUGGGCUGCUGGAGCCCUGCCAAGAGGCACCAAAUGACACCAGCCCCAAGGCUCCUGACACUGCUUCACCUUCAAAUUGCAGCUUUGCUCCCCCUUUGAGGUGUUUGUUCCCCCCAGGCUGGGAGAGAUGCGGGCUCCAGGAGGGAUGAACACACCUGGCACAGUGAGGAGCUGCUGUGAUGGGCAAUCACACAUCAGGCGUUUCCUGAGCACAUCCUGCUGCUGGGAUUUGAUUCCCUGACACAUUCGUGGUUUAUCUGUUUGUUUGGAGAGGUGCCAGACAAAAGAGACACAGAAAUUUAAAUAAAUGCAGGUUAUCUAGAAGACA
RNAcentral lists this long non-coding RNA (1114 nucleotides) under Parus major (Great Tit). Its description in RNAcentral is "lncRNA (ENSPMJG00000005873.1)". Lineage: Eukaryota; Metazoa; Chordata; Aves; Passeriformes; Paridae. The record is from RNAcentral.